CCGCCCUCAGAGCUCACACCCGCCGUGCGCUCUCGCCCCGGGGCCGCCCCGCCGACCUCCCGCGCGGCUCUGCGCGCACAGGCCGGACGCUCGGAGCCGGCGCCGGGCCGCCCUGCUCGGCCUCCUGGGCGCAGCGGCGCCUCUGGACCGAGCACGCGCACCAGCGGCCUCCGCUCAGGCUCCGUGCCCGCGCACGCGCCCUCGCGUCGCGCUCCUGGCUGAGAGACCUGCGCUCGGGCUGGGCUCCGGGCGGUUCUCGCGUUGUCGUUCCACCGGGACUUCCGCGCUUCGGUGGCCUUUCGGACGAGCCGCCGCGCCCAGAGAUGUUCAGGUUGGAGCGACACUUCCCAGACGGCAGCGGUCACGCCAGCUCUUUGGCUUCCAUUCCGUUUUCGCGCGGUUCUCCCUCUUCGCAAGGAGUGAAAUCAUAGAGUAUUCCUUUCUCUGUCUUACUUGUUUGGCUCAGGAUCCAUCCAUGUUGUCUCAAAUGGGAUGAGUUUGUCUGUUUUUAUGGGUGAGUAGUAUUCCAUUGUAUAUAUAUACGACACCUUCUUCUCCAUUUGUCCCUUGAUGGGCAUCUAGGUUGCUUCCACAUCUUGCCUAUUGUGAAUAAUGCUGUGGUGAGCAUACGGGUGCAUAUAUCUUUUUGAAUUAGUGAUUUCAUGUUUCUUU
Molecule: long non-coding RNA, 672 nt
Filed under: Equus caballus (horse)
Lineage: Eukaryota; Metazoa; Chordata; Mammalia; Perissodactyla; Equidae
Description: lncRNA (ENSECAG00000030526.3)
Source: RNAcentral